RNAcentral lists this small RNA (72 nucleotides) under Xanthomonas campestris. RNAcentral's name for it is "sX9 sRNA". It matches the Rfam family "Xanthomonas sRNA sX9". Lineage: Bacteria; Pseudomonadati; Pseudomonadota; Gammaproteobacteria; Lysobacterales; Lysobacteraceae. The record is from RNAcentral.
AUGUACUGCGGCGCUCCGGUUCCUCCGCGCCGGCCGCACCCACCUGACGGCUACUCGCUGCGUCUUGUAACC